RNAcentral lists this ribosomal RNA (496 nucleotides) under uncultured bacterium. RNAcentral's name for it is "bacterial SSU rRNA". It matches the Rfam family "Bacterial small subunit ribosomal RNA", at positions 31 to 507 of the family's 1533-position model. The record is from RNAcentral.
GAACGCUGGCGGCGUGCUUAACACAUGCAAGUCGAACGGAGUGCCCAUGACAGAGGUUUCGGCCAAUAGAUUGGGUUACUUAGUGGCGGACUGGUGAGUAACGCGUGAGGAACCUGCCUUUCAGAGGGGGACAACAGUUGGAAACGACUGCUAAUACCGCAUGACACAUCGAGGGGGCAUCCCCUUGAUGUCAAAGAUUUUAUCGCUGAAAGAUGGCCUCGCGUCUGAUUAGCUUGUUGGCGGGUAACGGCCCACCAAGGCGACGAUCAGUAGGGGUUCUGAGAGGAAGGUCCCCCACAUUGGAACUGAGACACGGUCCAAACUCCUACGGGAGGCAGCAGUGAGGAAUAUUGGUCAAUGGGCGAGAGCCUGAACCAGCCAAGUAGCGUGCAGGAUGACGGCCCUAUGGGUUGUAAACUGCUUUUAUAAGGGAAUAAAGUGAGCCUCGUGAGGCUUUUUGCAUGUACCUUAUGAAUAAGGACCGGCUAAUUCCGUG